Molecule: unclassified non-coding RNA, 320 nt
Filed under: Bombus terrestris (buff-tailed bumblebee)
Lineage: Eukaryota; Metazoa; Arthropoda; Insecta; Hymenoptera; Apidae
Description: misc RNA ENSBTSG00005026093.1
Source: RNAcentral
AACAGAGGCAUGAAGUAACUCUAUAGCUUUCCUUAAAAGAAAUACUUGGGACGGGGCACGACGGUAAACAUUUCAACGAUUUCUGUCCCGUGGCUCGCCACACGCAGACUUUGUCCUUCGGACAAAUGGCCUGUGCCCCAACUACGGGAAGAUAAGAGAAAUCUAUCCUUCCACGAACGACGCUUCUCGCUAGCAACUUCCCCCAAGGACAGCUAAUAUCUUUCUCUAACCACCAACAUGGAAAUUGACCAAUUAACAGCAACGUCAAUUUCCCUCACCCUUCGAGCGAAGACUUUUCUCCGCGAAUCCGAUGAUCUUGU